CUGGAAGCAUUUAAGACUAGUGUGGGUUGAAAUUGUAGUACUGAAACCCAUCAAGACAGCUGUUAGUUGUAAAGUUGAUAUUUGUAUUUGCAGCAGAGCCUAUUACUAUCCUAUAAUAUGGAAUGAAUAAAUAAUUCCUGUAUUGUAGCAGGUGGACCUUAGUAGGCAGAAUAGCAUCAGAAAUGAUCCAUAAACUUUAUUCUAUACACAGAAAAUCAAAUGUUUCAGGUUCUCUGCCUUAUAUUCAAUGUUCUGUGAUGUCAUAAUCUAAAUCGAGUUUUCUGUGUGAUUCCCUGACUCUAUAUGUCCACAGAGUUCCCAUUCUUAGGGGGAAAACAAAACUAGGGAAAAAGAUUUCUGCACCCAAGUGAGUGUAGUGAAACCUUUUUCACACCUCUCUUUUCCCUAGUUAAAAAACAAAGAAAGUAUAUAAAAAAGAUAUGUAGGUACAAACUUAUGAUAAAUGUUCCUAAUAUCAGAUAUUUGAACUGAACCUCUGUGUCAAGAAAUUUGCUCAAUUAAAUUAUAUUAUUCUUAUUUUUAAACCACUUGCAGAAAAUAAUAGCUAUUUCUUUUCACUAGAUUUUGUAUGCUGAACACUGAGAUUCUUGAUGUUCAAAUCUAUCUCAUUGACUAGAAAUAACCUUAUUCAUAUCAUAGAGUGCAUUCAUAUCUAUGCAUAUGAUGCAGAAAGCUAAGUGUUAUUUAUGCCCAACCUGUGCAGGUCUCUUUCUCUGCAAAAUUUUAAAAUCUGUCCUCAUCUUUUGCUACAGAACACUUUGUGUGUGUAUGUAUUUAUUUAUUUAAUUAAUUAUUUAUGUUAACACCCUCAUCUCUCUUAAAGUGAGCAUUGGAAUAGAAAACAAAUUACUUGAAAUUCCCUCUCUGGUGAUUCCAGCGAAUCCAACCACAACUAGUGUAUUAAAAAGAGUAAACAACUCUCCCCCUCUUUUCCUCAUUGGUGUCUGUGUAGCAGAGGGCUUUGACCCUGUGUAAAGCUUUAUCGUGUAAAGCUUUACAUGAGAGACUCUUUUCAGAUUCUUGUGUGAGUCGUGCUAAGGCUCCAUUUGCAAACUUGACAGUGCCUCUCUGUGUUUGACGUUAUAACUUUAGGAUUUUAUGUUAUUUAAAUAUACUAAAAUGUACCCUGUAUCAAACUGCAGGUGCUGCUACACUUCUAUUACAGCACAGUAACACUUGCCUCCUAAAAACUGAGGCUUGUGAAAGAGUUAAGCAAAGCAGCCAGAAAUGGUUUUCAGCUUUUACUUUUCAGAUACAUCCUUUUAAGCAUACCUACAUUUACCUGCAAUGGCAAUCGUUUUGCAUUUUAAUGACAAAUCAAGUAUGCUAACUUGCAUUUGAAACGAAAGUGCCUUAAAUGUCUCUGGCUGUCAGAAUGAGAUGUUAGGAGCUUGAUGAAAAGAGAACAAAGAAGACAAAGUAUGAAGCCUAGAUACAGAGCAAAAUGAAAUAAAACCUUGUAUGGCCUGUCAGGGGUGUCAGUUGAUAUUCCUAUCUAAAGCACAUUAUAGUAUUACUUUGCAGCUCAUAGCUUACUCAUCUGUCUUUUUUAAUUCAUCACAUUCUAGCCCACAUCUUUUAAGUCCCAUGUGUCAACAAUGGAAGAAAUCUGUUAAUUGACAAAUGAGUGUCACAAAUGUGAAUUGGUGCCUUUACAUCAGAGGCAGGUAGUCUCUGUUGUUUUUUGUCGGCUCUAUUAUUGGCAUAAGCCAGUGUAAGACAUCUGUCUUUGCCAGAAUGAGAGAUGACAGCCAGAGAAGGGCUGUCAUUGUUUUAGUGCAUGUUCAUUCUGCUGAGAUACUGUAUAAAGAUAAAAUGUCAGUUAAAAGAAUAUGAAAAACUAUCGGGAGGAAGUCCUUAAAUUACUUGGGUAGGGGAUCUGGGAAUUGGUGCCAGAAUUGAAAUCUGAACGUUCCAGUUUGCAUCUAUCACAUCAAUUUAAAAAUAAUACUUUCUGAGUAACUGGGUCAGUUUAUAAGGCAUUUAGGAAAACGUUAUGUUGUGUUGGCAUAAUUAGCUCAUAAGAUGGAAAGAAAAACAUAUCUUCACAGGAUAUGAGUUUAUUACAAGUUCAUUUUUCAAACAUGUAUAGAAUUGUCUCAAUAAAAAUAUGCUGUGUAGCAUCUCUAGUGUUGAUUUGCAUCUGUUUUGAAAUAUUGAAAUUGCUCUGUUCCAAUUUCUUUUUCUGUUAUAGUCCUAUUUUAGAUUGAUGAAUAACAUAAUGAAAUAAAAAGCAUAGCCAGCUGUGGGUUGAUGAGACAAUUAAUAGGAAGAAAAUUAUUAACAUAGUUUCAGGGUGUCUAGAGGGUGUACAGUAUAUAAAAGUUACUCCCAAAUCACUAAAUCCCUUUAUUGCAAUAAAUGACUUUUUAAUCUUGGAUAGCACAAAAGAGGAGGAAAAUGUUUUAAUGGAGGUGGUAGAAAGAGGGAAUAGAAUUAAAAUGUCAUAAAAGGCUGCCGUUUUACUUUUUACUUUAUAUCAAAAGUCAUAAGAAAGGCAUAUUGGCACUUUUAUCUUCAGCAGCUCUUACAGGCAACCCUGUGCUGUACAGGACACUCACUGUGUAGCCCUCUUUCCCAAAUGGCCUGUCACUGGGGAUCUAAAUGACCUUGUCUGAACUUGAGGCAUUUUGAGGGCUAUGUUGACACAAUCUGGUGAAGGACUAACUCUAGAUCUGUAGGCUGGCUGAGUUGAAAUUUCAAGAUGGAUGUCUCUGAACUGCAAUUUAUUAAAAGUCUUAAAGUUAGUUGGGUUUUGCAUUUGAAAUAGAGCUGUCAAUAUAGUAAAUCUGAGAUGGUCUGGAUUAUGAUAUAGUUAAUAUAGGUAGAAUUGUCAUUCAUAACUUCAUAGAAUUUGUGUUUUCUUUUUUUGAGUUUUUAAACUUGCAUUUAGCAACUGAGUAGCAGAAAAAAUAUCAAACUUUUUCCCCUUCCCACCAUCUAAUGUGGUGCUCUCAGAUUUUUUUUGUCUUUAACUUCUCUGUUUAUCUCCAAGUAUCUUCUGACUCUUUCACUUUUUGUCCAUGGUUAGUAUCAAUUGUAAAUUUAAUUAUUGAUACCAGUAACAUAGUUUAAUACUUCUAAUAGGUACUAGUAAUUUCAUGAGUCUUCUCUGUUAGGGUAUAAAAAGCUGAGAAUGAGUAGCAUGCAGCUUUUAUUUUGUUUUAAGUUUUUGGAUAGAAGUAUUGUUGCUCUGUAAAUAGACUUCCUAUAAAAAGAAUACUAAGAGAGAAGGUUGGUUUUCUCUUGAAGGUCUAUUUGUAUUUUUUUAUUAAAAAAGCUAGUCUUUUCAAAGUUAUUUGGAAUUAAUUUUGCUAGACAAUAUUUUAAAAUAUUAUAAUCUAUGAAAACCAAGAAGUGUUUGCUGCUUAUAUACAAAGGUUUGUGAGCCUUGGAUACCUGUAAGUUUUGUGAAAGCUUUGUUCUUUCAUUUCCAGCUUUCAUUGGUUCUAAGUAGAUGUUUAGAUUUCCAGUCAAAAGCCACGCUGUUGGUAUUUAAAAUGCCAGGCAUGAAUUCUCAGGCAGUUUUUCAUCAUGUGCUUUGAAGUUCAGUUUCCUUUGAGAAGUGGGAAGACAACACUGCCUCCAUUUUACAGAUGGCAGAACUGAGUUGUGAGGAGGCUUUGUUGAUCAAUUGCACAUGCCAAAUAUAAUUACCAGCUCUUCAUACCAACUUGCAUAAACCAC
RNAcentral lists this long non-coding RNA (3708 nucleotides) under Taeniopygia guttata (zebra finch). RNAcentral's name for it is "lncRNA (ENSTGUG00000023229.1)". Lineage: Eukaryota; Metazoa; Chordata; Aves; Passeriformes; Estrildidae. The record is from RNAcentral.